GCGUCGAUAGCUCAUUGGGGCUGAGCAUUGGGACGGUUGCCCACGUGUGUUGGGUUCGAACCCCGGUUGACGCU
Non-coding RNA from Phthorimaea operculella (potato tuberworm), 74 nucleotides. NCBI's taxonomy places the organism in Eukaryota, Metazoa, Arthropoda, Insecta, Lepidoptera, Gelechiidae. The record is from the annotation of a GenBank genome assembly.